RNAcentral lists this unclassified non-coding RNA (25 nucleotides) under Mus musculus (house mouse). Its description in RNAcentral is "oocyte_clustered_small_RNA10806". Lineage: Eukaryota; Metazoa; Chordata; Mammalia; Rodentia; Muridae. The record is from RNAcentral.
UGCUGCACUGUGACCCUCCGAGGAG